UCUAGUGGGAGUGUGAGUCAAGAGAGGAUAUGUUGAGGAUAGAGGUCCCCCAAGGACCCCUUUUAUAGGGUCUUGGGGGACGUUUCCUCAUUCAAUCGAGUGGGGCCCGCGCCAUUAAGGUACCCCUAAUAAGGAAUGCCUUAAUGGCGAAGGUCCGCUCAAGUAACGGCUGGGAAUCGGCGAUUCAGGUAUGGGAAUCGCCGAUCCAGAGGUUCAAUCGCCGACUCCCGUAUGAGCCUAGUGGCAGCCUACCAAAGCUGUCCACGAGGCGUAGAGUUGGCGAUUCCCCUCUGGAAUCGGCGACUUGGUAGUCCCAAUCGGCGACUCCCAAGUGUUAACUUGAGCUCUUGACGUAGACACGUGCUCCGCACCGUGGAAGCCUUUCCGGGGGUCCGGCAUAUAGCGACGGAACCCUAUUCCUUGUUUGAAGGGCGUUGCUGGGAGUGACUGACGUAAUCAGGCAUGUCUCACCAGUACUCCCCCCUGAAGAGAGUAUGGCUGAACACCCGUGUACCGCCAGUAUCCCCCCCCCAAGCAAGGUGAUCCGCAUCAAGGCCAAAGCGACAAGAUGGGAUCGAGUCAAAGUGGCCACAGCGACACGAUGACUCCGUUACCCAUGCACUAUCAGAUGGGUUGAUUCACUAUUAGAAUCUAGUUCCAGGCCAGUAGAACUACGUGUUUAUAGUCCGACUCUGAUCAGGAGCGACUCUUUCUGUGUUAUCAUCAAGGCCAAAGCGACAAGAUGAAAGGAUGUUAUUAAGGCCAAAGCGACAAAAUAACUCCCAUCCAUUAAGGCCAAAGCGACAAAAUGGAGCGACUCACUAUCAGAGUCUGAUUCUGGCCCAAGCGACAGAAUGCGUGGAUCCUGGCCAAAGCGACAGGAUCUGGUUCACUAUCAGAACCCAUGUUUAUAGUCCACCCUGAUCAAGAGCGACUUUACGUCCGCAACGACGGUUACCCCACUAAGGCCAAAGCGACAAAGUGGGUCGAGAUCAUUAAGGCCAAAGCGACAAAAUGAUCUCCAAGUCUAUCAAGGCCAAAGCGACAAGAUAGAAGAAUUAUUGAGGCCAAAGCGACAAAAUAAUUCUUUGGUCCAUUGAGGCCAUAGCGACAAAAUGGGCCGACUCGUUUAGAGUCUGAUUCUGGCCGAAGCGACAGAAUGCGUGGAUCCUGGCCAAAGCGACAGGAUCGUUCCUGCAAAACAAAAAAUAACCUGCAAAACAAUUGUAUCAGUCUAAAGGAUAUAUUUAUUGACUUACUAACCUUGCCGUGAGGGGCUGCUUCUUGUGCCGCUCCUUCCCAUGCUCAAUAACUCCUCGAUUGAUCUGGCCGAAGCGACAGAUCUAUUGUGCUCAAUGUUUGACAUCUUCUGGCCAAAGCGACAGAAGUGUCAGGAAGAGUUUGUGAUACUCCCCCCCGAGUUUGACGACUUCUGGCCGAAGCGACAGAAGUGUCAGGAAGAGCUUGUGAUACUCCCCCCCGAAUUUGACGACUUCUGGCCGAAGCGACAGAAGUGUCAGGAAGAACUUGGGAUUCUCCCCCUUGAGAUCAUUAAGGCCGAAGCGUCAAAAUGACCUUUGGUCUACUAAGGCCAAAGCGACAAAGUAGACCGACUCACUAUCAGAGUUUGAUUCUGACCAGAGCUACAGAUCCACUAUCAGGAUCCGAUCCUCGCCUUGGAUGCAGAACCUGUUGAUUCAUUAAUAGAAUCUAACUCCUGUCGGGGCUACGAAUUCACUAUUAGAAUCCGAUCCCAACCCGGACUACGGAGUCUAACCUGCAAAAAAGGAAAACACUCUGCAAAACAACUAGAUUAGUCCAUAAACGCAUAUAUUAAUUAUUGAACUUACCUGCGAUU
Molecule: long non-coding RNA, 1858 nt
Filed under: Zostera marina
Lineage: Eukaryota; Viridiplantae; Streptophyta; Magnoliopsida; Alismatales; Zosteraceae
Description: long non-coding RNA (ZMAR_LNC000085)
Source: RNAcentral